CCUACGGGAGGCAGCAGUGGGGAAUCUUGGACAAUGGGGGGAACCCUGAUCCAGCGACGCCGCGUGAGUGAAGAAGUAUUUCGGUAUGUAAAGCUCUAUCAGCAGGGAAGAAAGAAAUGACGGUACCUGACUACGACGCCCCGGCUAACUACGUGCCAGCAGCCGCGGUAAUACGUAGGGGGCAAGCGUUAUCCGGAUUUACUGGGUGUAAAGGGAGCGUAGACGGCGAUGCAAGUCUGAAGUGAAAGGCGGGGGCCCAACCUCCGGAGUGCUUUGGAAACUGUAUGGCUGGAGUGCAGGAGAGGUAAGUGGAAUUCCUAGUGUAGCGGUGAAAUGCGUAGAUAUUAGGAGGAACACCAGUGGCGAAGGCGGCUUACUGGACUGUAACUGACGUUGAGGCUCGAAAGCGUGGGGAGCAAACAGGAUUAGAUACCCUGGUAGUC
Molecule: ribosomal RNA, 443 nt
Filed under: uncultured bacterium
Lineage: Bacteria
Description: partial 16S ribosomal RNA
Rfam family: Bacterial small subunit ribosomal RNA
Source: RNAcentral